UACGAAGGGGGCUAGCGUUGCUCGGAAUUACUGGGCGUAAAGCGCACGUAGGCGGAUUGUUAAGUCGGGGGUGAAAUCCUGGAGCUCAACUCCAGAACUGCCUUCGAUACUGGCGAUCUCGAGUUCGGGAGAGGUGAGUGGAACUGCGAGUGUAGAGGUGAAAUUCGUAGAUAUCGGGAGGAACACCAGUGGCGAAGGCGACUACCUGGCCUGUUCUUGACGCUGAGGCGCGAAAGCUAGGGGAGCAAACGGG
RNAcentral lists this ribosomal RNA (253 nucleotides) under uncultured bacterium. RNAcentral's name for it is "partial 16S ribosomal RNA". It matches the Rfam family "Bacterial small subunit ribosomal RNA", at positions 524 to 776 of the family's 1533-position model. The record is from RNAcentral.